Molecule: ribosomal RNA, 1139 nt
Filed under: uncultured Caldisericota bacterium
Lineage: Bacteria; Pseudomonadati; Caldisericota
Description: bacterial SSU rRNA
Rfam family: Bacterial small subunit ribosomal RNA
Source: RNAcentral
AUACGGUCGAAAUGCCGGGGAAUAACCGAUAAUGUCUCUUCCUUCCAGGUGUGAGAAGAAAGGUGCAAACCGCUUUGAUACGGGCUUAUCUCCUAUCACGGCCGUUGGUAGGGUGACGGCUUACCAAACCUACGACGGGUAGAUGGUCUGAUAAGACGGUCAGCCACUUUGGCACUGAGACACGGACCAGACUCCUACAGUAGGCAGCAGCCGGGAAUAUUCGGCAAUGGGCGAAAGCCUGACCGAGCGACACCGCGUGAGCGACGAAGGCCUUCGGGUCGUAGAGCUCUUUUAUUUGGGAAGAAUGCAUAGAAAUAUGUUUGACGGUACCAUUUGAAUAAGCCCCAGCUAACUACGUGCCACGCAGCUGCAGGUAAUACGUAGGGGGCAAGCGUUAUCCGGAAUCACUGGGCGUAAAGGGUCCGCAGGUGUCCCGUUAAGUUAGAUGUUAAAUCGCAAGGCUCAACCUUGCGGCUGCAUCUAAUACUGACAGGAUAGAGGAUAGGUGACUGAAGUGAAAUUCCUGGUGGAGAGGUAAAAUCCGUAGAUAUCAGGAGGAACACCCGUGGCGUAGGCGGCUUCCGAACCUAUUCCUGACACUCAUGGACGAAAGCUAGGGGAGCAAACAGGAUUAGAUACCCUGGUAGUCCUAGCUGUAAACGAUGAAUACUAGAUAGUAGGUGCUACACCGUACUCACCGUUGUAGCUAACGCGUUAAGUAUUUCGCCUGGGAACUACGAUCGCCAGUUUGAAACUCAAAGGAAUUGACGGGUCCCCGCACAAGCAGCGAGGCAUGUGGCUUAAUUCGAUGCAACACGAAGAAACUUAACUGGACUUGACAUGUUUCUGAAAGGCCGGAGAAACCCGGUCCCUUCCAGUUUACUGGAACAGUUUCACAGGUGGUGCAUGGUUGUCGUCAGCUCGUGUCGUGAGAUGUAAGGUUAAGUCCUUAAACGAGCGUAACCUUUGUCAUUAGUUGCCACCGGUUCGGUCGAGCACUCUAAUGAGACCGCUAGCGACAAGCCAGAGGAAGAUGGAGAUGACGUCAAAUCCUCACGUCCCUUAUGUCCAGGGCCGCACACAUGCGACAAUGGUAGAGACAGCGGGUUGCGACGGGGUAACCCUGAGCUAAUCCAUAA